GGCGGUGAUUUAGCUAAUCAGAGGAACUUGUUUUAUAAUCGAUAACCCCCGCUCUAACUAACUUAAAUUAGCAAUCAGCUUGUAUACCGCCGUCGUAAGGAGAUUUUUUAAAAAUAUCUUCGAGAAUUUUAAAAUAUAUGUCAGGUCAAGGUGCAGUCUAUGUUUCAGUAAAAAUGAGUUACAAUAGUUGAAAUUACACGAAUGACAUAUUGUAAAAUGGGAUGAAGGUGGAUU
This 234-nucleotide ribosomal RNA is filed under the name Dentatella coxalis. RNAcentral describes it as "partial 12S ribosomal RNA". The record is from RNAcentral. Lineage: Eukaryota; Metazoa; Arthropoda; Insecta; Ephemeroptera; Ephemerellidae.